Molecule: ribosomal RNA, 704 nt
Filed under: uncultured bacterium
Lineage: Bacteria
Description: bacterial SSU rRNA
Rfam family: Bacterial small subunit ribosomal RNA
Source: RNAcentral
CAUGCAAGUCGAACGGCAGCGCGGGGAGCUUGCUCCCUGGCGGCGAGUGGCGGACGGGUGAGUAACGCGUGGGAAUCUACCCAACGGUGGGGGACAACUCGGGGAAACCCGGGCUAAUACCGCAUACGUCCUACGGGAGAAAGGGGGCCUCUGCUUGCAUGCUCUCGCCGAUGGAUGAGCCCGCGUCCGAUUAGCUUGUUGGUAGGGUAAUGGCCAACCAAGGCGACGAUCGGUAGCUGGUCUGAGAGGACGAUCAGCCACACUGGGACUGAGAAACGGCCCAGACUCCUGCGGGAGGCAGCAGUGGGGAAUAUUGGACAAUGGGCGAAAGCCUGAUCCAGCAAUGCCGCGUGUGUGAAGAAGGCCCUCGUUGGUUGUAAAGCACUUUCAGUGGGGAAGAACAGCCGGGUGCCAAUACCAUCCGGCCUUGACGUUACCUACAGAAGAAGCACCGGCUAACUCUGUGCCAGCAGCCGCGGUAAUACAGAGGGUGCGAGCGUUAAUCGGAAUUACUGGGCGUAAAGGGCGCGUAGGCGGUGCGGUAAGUUGGGUGUGAAAGCCUCGGGCUUAACCUGGGAAUUGCAUUCAAUACUGCCGGACUGGAGUAUGGUAGAGGGAAGUGGAAUUCCGGGUGUAGCGGUGAAAUGCGUAGAUAUCCGGAGGAACACCAGUGGCGAAGGCGGCUUCCUGGACCAAUACUGACG